AGUAGCGGAAGGAAGCUCACUGUAGAGGUCACCCACUGAGUGCUCGUCACUCGCCAACACCUCGGGGAAGGUCUGAGACAGGAGCCACUCGCUGUCCUAGCAGGACAUCAUCUGAAUGAUGAGCGAGUGCACAGAAAAUCGGGUCACGCGCGCGAUUCUCGCAGCAGACGUUGAUGCUCGCACACAUUCAGCGGAUCAACUGAUGCGACGCGCGCAGACUUGGAAACACUCGCGGCUGGCGAAUGAGUGCGAUGUGUGAGCUAGCAUAACAUGCUAGAACCCAAUUCAGACUACUCUCCCUCCGCUCA
RNAcentral lists this RNase P RNA (308 nucleotides) under Danio rerio (zebrafish). RNAcentral's name for it is "ribonuclease P RNA subunit". It matches the Rfam family "Nuclear RNase P". From Rfam's summary of the family: Ribonuclease P (RNase P) is a ubiquitous endoribonuclease, found in archaea, bacteria and eukarya as well as chloroplasts and mitochondria. Its best characterised activity is the generation of mature 5'-ends of tRNAs by cleaving the 5'-leader elements of precursor-tRNAs. Cellular RNase Ps are ribonucleoproteins. Lineage: Eukaryota; Metazoa; Chordata; Actinopteri; Cypriniformes; Danionidae. The record is from RNAcentral.